AUUUGCCCUAAACACAAUUCAUUAUCUGCUCCGCCUUCCCGCCACUACCGUCUACCAGUCGUCCACCAACACCACGCCACCACGGCUGAUUCUCCGAUCCGGCCGCCGACAUCGCCGCCGGCAGCGUCGGCGGCCACAAACAAGGUGAUCGUUUCACCCCCUACCCGCCAUUCUCUCCACCGCUUGCUGUUCCUAUCGGGACUAGUCGCCCUAACCAACCCAGGCGACUAGUUUUGGACUCCGCCGCAUCACAUUUUGCACGCACGAUCUCUUCCUCUCCUCUCCUUUAAUUUCCCCAAGUCAAACAGUUGUUUAUUGGAUCGAUCGAUCGAUCGGUCAACUCCUACCAGGGCUACCCAACCCAUCCUACCACCGACCUCGAUCCCAAUUGUUUAAAUGUUUAUUAAUCUCCGGAUCAUCCACCAACUUUACUAGAGAAGCCAGAGAGAUUCGGUCGCGGUCCCUUUUCGCGCGCACGCGGGCCAGGCGCGAGGACCACCGAUGCAUCAAAUGUGCUUAAACCAGCAGCGAUGGCGGUUGUUCGGGGAUGCGGGGGCGGGGCGAUUUACUCGGCUGCCCGCGCGCCGCAUGUGCGGAUAGGUGGGUGGAGUUGUGGCGGGCGGGGCGCACGCUAGGUGUUCGAUGUAAUGCGGCAGUAGGGUCAAGCGCGUUCGCGUCCUGGAGAUGGGGGGAGUUGGGGCCUUGGGGGGUUUAUGAAUUGGGUCAUCGUGCUGUAGGUGUAAGGUGUUGUUUAGGUGGGAUAUGCCUCUCACAGCUCCGACGCCUGAUGGGAAGAAUUGAAUAUUGAUGGUGGGUGGUGUAUCAGUUUGAGGCAUGAGGUCGUCAUUCCUUUCUUUGGGAUGGAUUCUAGGCAUGUUAGAGUUCUUCUUUUGAUUAAAAGUUACCUCAAUCCAGACUGGCAUUGAUAGAAAAAGAACGUCGGCUAUUAAAACCUCAUUCCUGGUUUAGUUAUUCUGAGCAAUGUGAAGGACGGUUGUUCUUUCUUAGUGGUCCUAGUCUGUUCAAUGAAGACAUGCCAUUCUAAAGUCACAUUACAUUGUGAAUUCAGCUUUGACCUAGAAUCCUACUAGAUAACUAGUAGUCUAGGACUCUUUUUGGAAGUCACCAGAGCUUCUUUAUUAUUUAUCAAAAAGGUAGAGCUUUGACAGAGAAGUUGAUAGGUUAACUAUAAUCAGUUUGCACUUGAGCAGAAAAACCCACAGAUCCUUUUGGCAGUACCCCGGCCUUUUGAUUUAGGAAAUAGCUUUUCCACAUGGUUGUCAAUUUGAUUGUUUUCUUCAUUAUGUUAUUGUGCACUUCAGCGUGUGCACAUGGAUACACUUGAUGGUACCCCUUUGAAUACCGCUGCAAGCAUUUCUUGUAGCCUGGAGGAUGUGAAACGUUUAUGUUUUUGCUAAUUAUAUAAAACGUUUUUUUUUUCUGAAAACACACACUGUUUGCGCCAGGUUUGAAACUUGGUUUGCGCCAAGAUUGAAGCUUCCAUUAUUCUUUACAAGUACCAAAUACACCAGCUGCUUUCUUGUCAGGUGCUACCAACAUAAGGUUGUUGCACAAUAAUGCACUUCUUUUCUUAUGCUGACGUACCUAUUUUGAAUUUGCUCUUGAAUAUCAUCCUCCAAUAUUAAUCUGCUAUAAUUGCAGGUUGCAGCCACCUUUUUUUUUGUUUGAAACUUUGCAGCCACCUUCAAUAUGGCUAAUUUUUUAAUCUCUAGUACAUGCGAAUAUGAAUGCCAAUAGAAUAGAAGUCUGAAAUAUUCUUGACCAGUUUAAUACUACCAUAAACUGGUACAGUACUAUUCAACUUAUGUACCAUAAUGGCCUUCUAGGUAGUAAUGUUGAGAAGCUAUGCUUAUGGCCAGUACAGAACUCACCAGUCACCAGUAUGUCUUUGGCAUAAUCAAACCAUGGUGCCCACAUUGCUGUAACCAUUCUGAAAUUGCAGAAUUAGCAUAAGGGAGUCUUCUAAGGUUAAGUAGAGUGCCUUGAAUUAUUGAAAGUAACAGAUGGCAUUACGAAUAAAAUUUGUAUCACUGAGUAAUUUGCUAUUUGAUGUGCAUGGCUUUUGUUUGUUUGCAUACCCAUAGCACAGUUGCACACAAAUUACCACGUGUGCUCUGGCUUUUAGGUGAAAAGUUGAAAUAAGAUUAACCUUUUUCUCUCUACUUCUGACCUAUUUAAGGGGUUUGUUUGACUUUAUGGUAUUAACAUGUGAGAACUCUUCGAAUAAGUGUCAGCUUGCCUACCUAGGAAAGUUGUAGCUGAUAAAAAAAUAUUGCAACAUGUCUUAGAAAUGUUGAAUAGUUGUUAAGUAACAGGUUGGUGUAAGACAGGAAAAGAUUACGAUCUUUUGUCUGGAUGUCUGGGUUCCUGGCAACUGAAAAAACAUUUUAAUGGGCCAAGUCCAAUAGGGUAACAAGUUGUGGAGGCCAAUUUUUAGCCCAAAUAGUGUGAUCCUUCAAGUGUCUGCAGAAGUGCAAGAUGCAAACUUCAGAAUUCUGGUAUAGUUGUACCAACUAAUAGGAAGCUUUAUGUUCUCAUGAUUGCAGAACCUGCACCUAUAAUCUGGUAAAUUUCUCACACAUGUUCCUGCUGAAGGUAAAACUUGACGCCUCUUUUAUGCAAAGUUAAAUUUGACUUGUAUUGUGUAAUUUAUCCUUCUCAUUUCAGUAUGCUUCUUUGGAGCCCCUUCCUGUGUUGAGAUGAGAAGCACCUGUUUCAAAGUUGUAUUGUAGAAACUAGAAUCCUAGAGUAUCAUUCCCUUUCUGGUAUUUCCGCAAAUGUACAGAUUUUUAACCUUACUAAUGCUUCAUGCAUGUUCCAUCUUCUUACCAGUCUGGGUUCCUGGCAACUGAAAAAACAUUUUAAUGGGCCAAGUCCAAUCGGGUAACAAGUUGUGGAGGCCAAUUUUAGCCCAAAUAGUGUGAUCCUUCAAGUGUCUGCAAAAGUGCAAGAUGCAAACUUCAGAAUUCUGUUAUAGUUGUACCAACUAAUAGGAAGCUUUAUGUUCUCAUGAUUGCAGAACCUGCACCUAUAAUCUGGUAGAUUUCUCACAUAUGUUCCUGCUGAAGGUAAAACUUGACGCUUCUUUUAUUCAAAGUUAAAUUUGACUUGUAUUGCGUAAUUUAUCCUUCUCAUUUCAGUAUGCUUCUUUGAAGCCCCUACCUGUGUUGAGAUGAGAAGCACCUGUUUCAAAGUUGUAUUGUAGAAACUAGAAUCCUAGAGUAUCAGUCCCUUUCUGGUAUUUCCGCAAAUGCACAGAUUUUUAACCUUACUGAUGCAUCAUGCAUGUUCCAUCUUCAACAUCAUGUUAUCAUGAUCGUGGAGUGGAAUGAUAGAACCAGUCAAGGAUCAUGAUUGGCUCUCAAGUACAAAGAAAUUCAGUUGGAGUUGGCAGGGAAACCAUUCAGUAAUUAUUUAGGAUAAUAUGCCACUUACCGAAGCAAGCUGUUUAUCAAGCUGACACUGUUAUAUAUGUUGAGUUUGACAUAUUUUCUGAUGUUGAGUGAUGGGCAUGAUUGCUCUAGUGGGACUGUGGGAGGGCUCAGGUGCCGGGAUGUAUUGCAGGUGGGGUUGCAAAACUGCACUUGCGGCAGGUCUCUACUGAGUUUAAUGGCCUCCAACCACACUGACGUGAAAAUGGGUUGUUAAUAAGGCAUGUCAGUGAGAUCCUAAAUAUUCUUGAUGACUCCGAAAAGCUGUUGAUCUAAAUUUACUGUAAGAGUUCCAAAAAGCAUGAUUCAGAACAAGUUUGCAUGCAAGGUUGGGAAGCCAAAGCUUAAAGGCUAAAUUUGAACCAGGAUGCUGUGCUUGAAGGACAAUCAUGUGAUUUCUCAAGAGAAACAACUGGUUUCUGCUCAAACUCCGCACAAAAGGUGAAUAGCUAACCUCGUCUACAUUUUCUUCUAAGAUGUGAUAUGACUACCAGUUAUAUUUGCAAAACUAGUACAGAUUUUAACCUCUGCUGCAAUUGAUGCAAUUUAUUUUUUUUAUUACUGACUAGAAAGCUCUGAUGCAAAGUCCUUGUUUGUAACACAUGAAUCUUCCCUAUGUCCUGUGAAAUUUCAGAAUUAGAAACUAUAGUGUUUCAGA
This is a non-coding RNA of Oryza sativa Japonica Group (Japanese rice), 4110 nucleotides long. NCBI's taxonomy places the organism in Eukaryota, Viridiplantae, Streptophyta, Magnoliopsida, Poales, Poaceae. The record is from RefSeq and is a predicted model, not a curated record.